AGAGGAAGUACGGAGACCAAGCUCGGUCUUGUCCUGUGUUGCCAAGCACAUUGCUCAGCUUACCGUUUGGCAGAGGCAGGAGCAUGGAACAAGGGAGCGGCAUUCGCUCUUCCUGUGUUCUUGGAAAUGUUUCCUUGGAAUCGGAGCUUAUCAGAGAACAGCGAGAGAGUGAAACCACGUGCUCAACGCAGAUAAGGUUGUCCAGUAUUGGAGGAAAACAAAACUGGCAUCUGUGCCUGAGCCAGACUCCCAGCUGCUUCAGAGGCUCCUAUAGAAGAAUCUACAGUUCAAGGCCCAUCUGAGCAACUGAAAACCUGAAAUGGCAUCUAUUUACGACACAGCAGGAGUCUGGACAAAUAACACACAGAUUUUAACUACUCCAAUGCCUUGGCCUUAACAGACCUGACUAGUGGAUCACAGAGCUCUUUCCUCAUGGACACUCACGCAGGCACUACUGCUGGGUCAGAGAUGAAACCUAUUUGCUUCCUAAUAAAACUCAGAUCUAAA
This is a long non-coding RNA of Myodes glareolus (Bank vole), 507 nucleotides long. RefSeq lists it as uncharacterized. Lineage: Eukaryota; Metazoa; Chordata; Mammalia; Rodentia; Cricetidae. The record is from RefSeq and is a predicted model, not a curated record.